GGCCGUAACGAUGAGUGCCUAGUGUUAGAGGGUUUCCGCCUUUAGUGCUGAAGUUAACGCAUUAAGCACUCCGCCUGGGGAGUACGGCCGCAAGGCUGAAACUCAAAGGAAUUGACGGGGGCCCGCACAAGCGGUGGAGGCAUGUGGUUUAAUUCGAAGCAACGCGAAGAACCUUACCAGGUCUUGACAUCCUCUGAAAACCCUAGAGAUAGGGCUUCUCCUUCGGGAGCAGAGUGACAGGUGGUGCAUGGUUGUCGUCAGCUCGUGUCGUGAGAUGUUGGGUUAAGUCCCGCAACGAGCGCAACCCUUGAUCUUAGUUGCCAUCAUUAAGUUGGGCACUCUAAGGUGACUGCCGGUGACAAACCGGAGGAAGGUGGGGAUGACGUCAAAUCAUCAUGCCCCUUAUGACCUGGGCUACACACGUGCUACAAUGGACGGUACAAAGAGCUGCAAGACCGCGAGGUGGAGCUAAUCUCAUAAAACCGUUCUCAGUUCGGAUUGUAGGCUGCAACUCGCCUACAUGAAGCUGGAAUCGCUAGUAAUCGCGGAUCAGCAUGCCGCGGUGAAUACGUUCCCGG
This 578-nucleotide ribosomal RNA is filed under the name Bacillus thuringiensis. RNAcentral's name for it is "bacterial SSU rRNA". It matches the Rfam family "Bacterial small subunit ribosomal RNA", at positions 798 to 1377 of the family's 1533-position model. The record is from RNAcentral. Lineage: Bacteria; Bacillati; Bacillota; Bacilli; Caryophanales; Bacillaceae.